This 254-nucleotide ribosomal RNA is filed under the name uncultured bacterium. Its description in RNAcentral is "partial 16S ribosomal RNA". It matches the Rfam family "Bacterial small subunit ribosomal RNA", at positions 524 to 777 of the family's 1533-position model. The record is from RNAcentral.
UACAGAGGAGCCAAGCGUUGUCCGGAUUGACUGGGCGUAAAGCGCACGCAGGCGGAUGCGCGCGUGGGGUGUGAAAUCUGGCCGCUUAACGGCCAGGCGCCAUCCCAUACGGCGCGUCUGGAGCCUUGCAGAGGUCGGUGGAAUUGCCGGUGUAGUGGUGAAAUUCGUAGAUAUUCGCAAGAACACCAGUGGCGAAGGCGGCUUACUGGUCCGGAACUGACGCUGAGGUGCGAAAGCGUGGGGAGCAAACAGGG